AUGGCCAAGAGAAACCUCCUCCUCCUCCUGGCGCUAAUGGCGCUCGCCACAAGCAUGGAAGCCGCGUCGGCUACCACGAGCACGAGGAAGCUCAUGUUCCUGGUCCAGCCCAAGCCGAACCUCCUCACGUACCACAACGGCGCCGUGCUGCACGGCGACAUCCCCGUCUCCGUCCUCUGGUAUGGCCGCUUCACGGCGGCGCAGAAGGCCAUCGUAUCCGACUUCCUCCUCUCCCUCUCCUCCGCGCCGCGCGCGUCCCCGGCGCCGUCCGUGUCCCAGUGGUGGAGCAGCAUCCACCAGCUGUACCUCUCCAAGGCGGCGGCCGUCGGCAAGCACGGCGCCGGCGCCACCAAGGCCGCCCGGGUGGUCCUGUCCGGCCAGGUCUCCGACGAGGCGUGCUCGCUCGGGAAGAGCCUGAAGCUGUCCCAGCUCCCGGCGCUGGCGGCGAAGGCGAGGCCCGCCAAGGGCGGCAUCGCGCUGGUGCUCACAGCGCAGGACGUGGGCGUGGAGGGCUUCUGCAUGAGCCGGUGCGGCCGGCACGGGACCGUGGACGCCAAGUCCGGCACGGCCUACGUGUGGGCCGGCAACCCGGCGACGCAGUGCGCCGGGCAGUGCGCGUGGCCGUUCCACCAGCCGGCGUACGGGCCGCAGGCGCCGCCGCUGGCCGCGCCGAACGGCGACGUGGGCAUGGACGGGCUCAUCAUCAACGUGGCGAGCAUGGUGGCCGGCGCGGUGACCAACCCGUUCGGCGACGGGUUCUACCAGGGGGAGCGCGAGGCGCCGCUGGAGGCCGCGACGGCGUGCCCGGGGGUGUACGGCAAGGGCGCGUACCCCGGGUACGCCGGCCAGCUGCUGGUGGACGGCGCCACCGGAGCGAGCUACAACGCCCACGGUGCGCACGGGAGGAAGUACCUGCUCCCGGCGCUGUUCGACCCCGCCACCUCGGCCUGCUCCACGCUGGUGUAG
RNAcentral lists this ribosomal RNA (966 nucleotides) under Triticum aestivum (bread wheat). RNAcentral's name for it is "partial small subunit ribosomal RNA". The record is from RNAcentral. Lineage: Eukaryota; Viridiplantae; Streptophyta; Magnoliopsida; Poales; Poaceae.